This 459-nucleotide ribosomal RNA is filed under the name uncultured bacterium. RNAcentral's name for it is "partial 16S ribosomal RNA". It matches the Rfam family "Bacterial small subunit ribosomal RNA", at positions 338 to 795 of the family's 1533-position model. The record is from RNAcentral.
CCUACGGGAGGCUGCAGUGAGGAAUAUUGGUCAAUGGGCGAGAGCCUGAACCAGCCAAGUCGCGUGAGGGAAGACGGUCCUAUGGAUUGUAAACCUCUUUUGUCUGGGAGCAAAAUACUCCACGCGUGGCGUUCCGAGAGUACCCGAAGAAAAAGCAUCGGCUAACUCCGUGCCAGCAGCCGCGGUAAUACGGAGGAUGCGAGCGUUAUCCGGAUUUAUUGGGUUUAAAGGGUGCGCAGGCGGAAGAUUAAGUCAGCGGUAAAAUUGAGAGGCUCAACCUCUUCGAGCCGUUGAAACUGGCUGUCUUGAGUGAGUGAGAGGUAGGCGGAAUGCGUGGUGUAGCGGUGAAAUGCAUAGAUAUCACGCAGAACUCCGAUUGCGAAGGCAGCAUACCGGCGCGCAACUGACGCUCAUGCACGAAAGUGUGGGUAUCGAACAGGAUUAGAUACCCCUGUAGUC